Arachis ipaensis is the source of this 1810-nucleotide non-coding RNA. The record is from RefSeq and is a predicted model, not a curated record. NCBI's taxonomy places the organism in Eukaryota, Viridiplantae, Streptophyta, Magnoliopsida, Fabales, Fabaceae.
AUUUUAUUUAUGGAAAAAUAUCAAACCCCAUUAAUUCAUGCUAGUUUAAAUUUCUAAGCCUAAUUGUCCAAACAAAUAGCCAGUCUCUAACCUACUUGUCCAAAAAAAUUAGAAGAGGAAGAAGAGUGAGAAUGAAACCCUAGAUCUACGCCACCGUAUUCAUCUCUUUGCCAUUGUCACCAUCAAGCUCACCAUAGCGUCUGAGAUCAGAGGGAGAGUAAUCGACGACGCCCGCGACGCCAUACUUGCCGACAUCAGCAAGUUUCCAUCCUCAACUCCACUUUCUCAUGGAAGGAGUCAGAUCGAGCCGCCGCCAAUUGCGCCACUCACACGCUCGCCGAUCUUGCCAAAAACGAGGAAGUGGUGAAUGUGAUUAUUGAAGGAGGAGCUAUUCCUUUGGCACGUCUUCUGAGGUCACGACACGGAAGGAAUUAGUUCAGACACUAUUGAAAUUUUGGGAAAACAAAGCAAAUGUGUGAUAACAUGAUCAAGUGGAGGAAGGAAUUCAGUUUAGAAACUAUUGUAGAGGACUUUGAUUUCAAGAAAAUCAAUGAAGUGAUAAUCCUUCUUUGAGCCUGCUAGAAAUAUGGAAGCAUUUUUCAUUGACAGCAGGGUUUAUGCAUCAGUUUGAAAGUGAAAAUGGAUGAGAUUCAAAAACAGAAACAUGAAUCUGAAAAGAAAGUAGGAUUAGGAAUGUGAGGUUUGCUGUGGUUCGCAACACCCUCGUGUGAUGGUCCCCAACUUCCUCCCCCUUGAAGAAUGCAAGAAAGGUUGAAAGACAAGCUAAAGGAGUUUUUUAACUGUCAAUACGAGCUCUUUAUUAUUCACCACUCUAAUCAGGUUACUACUCUAUCUUAAGGACUAUCAAUUGCUUGUUGGUUGUUACUACUUUUACAAUCUUUACUUUAUUGUAUUUAUGAAUCAUCAAAUAGUUGAAGCAGAGGUACAAGCAUUGGGUGGCAUAGUGAUGAUAACAGACCCUACCUCAAACAGUGGCACUUUGCAGUCAUGAUUCCACUUUUCACUACUCCUCUCUUUUAUUGAAUUUUAUUUAAUACUGUUGCUGACAAUUUUGGUUCAUCAAAGGUGCUGUGCUAUUUAAAUAAUUAUGGCAAGAAUUUUAAUGGUGGACUCUUUCAUUUCCAGGAUAGCCAGCCAAUGUCAAUUAUGCCAAUGACUGGAGAUGUUCUGAUGUACUGCUGACCAGCGUAACAUUCAUUCUGUUGAUGAGAAACUAGUUAAACCUAUGAGGAUUGAGCGCUAAGCCGUUGUAAACUUCUCAGCUUGCUGUGACACACGUUUUCUGUGUAAUACCAUCAAAAAGUGUGCUGAAAUGAAGGGGAUUGUAAGAGUUUUAUGGCUAAUUUAGUCUUUAUUUAAGCAUGUUCCUUCCAAUGAUGGUAACAAAGAUGAAGGUAUCAUCAGGGAGCUAUUUAUAGACUUCUAUGAAACUUCAAAACAAAGGAAGCCUCAACAAACUAUAAUUUUCAGGUAUUGGAUUGGUUAAUUGAGGACUCAUACAUUGGAUUAGUCCUAAUGAUGAUUUACAAAAUAGAAUUUGAUUCUAUUUCUCUUACCGAGUGUAAUGGUGUAGUAAACUAGCAAAAGCUGUAUAUAACUAAAUUGAUUCAGCAUGAGUUUGAUUUUGUUUUCAUAGUUAUAUGAAUUUAGGGUUGCAAAUAUUGAAAAUACUUGCAUAAUUGUGCAAGUGUGAGUUCCAUGAUUCUCCAGAUACAUUCUCUGCUUCAGUUCAUGAAUAUAAAAUGCUCCCUAAAGAUCUUUUAGGAUUGCAUUCAUAUUUUUAUUUUGA